This 73-nucleotide transfer RNA is filed under the name Ailuropoda melanoleuca (giant panda). It matches the Rfam family "tRNA". Rfam says of the family: Transfer RNA (tRNA) molecules are approximately 80 nucleotides in length. The record is from Rfam by way of RNAcentral. Lineage: Eukaryota; Metazoa; Chordata; Mammalia; Carnivora; Ursidae.
GCCUAAGUGGCUUAGUCAGUAAAGCCUGUGACUCUUAAUCUCACAGUUGUGAGUUCAAGCCCCACACUGGGCA